This is a long non-coding RNA of Macadamia integrifolia, 1405 nucleotides long. RefSeq lists it as uncharacterized. Lineage: Eukaryota; Viridiplantae; Streptophyta; Magnoliopsida; Proteales; Proteaceae. The record is from RefSeq and is a predicted model, not a curated record. The transcript has 2 exons.
CUAAUAAAUGCUAAGGAUUUCAUCACAUCUUAAAACGUGUAUUGGGUGUUUUUAGAAGAAAAUUGAUGAUAUUGUUUGUCUCUAUCUGUACAUAACACGUGCCAAACCGACUAAUGGAAACUUUUGGUUUCUAUAUAUUUAAUUUCACCCUAAUUUGUUUAUUUCAUAUUAAAUUUUAUGGAAAUGCCAGCCUCAAUUGUGCUUUUCUUAGCUAUCUAUUCAAACGUACUAUAACGGCUGAUAUUGUGCCAGAAACGUGAAGCGUUCCUGCACUCAACAUAAGGACUCGUCGGGUCUCAAACAAGAUUCAUACAGGAAAUUUAACCUUCUUCAACUCUAAGUUAUUAGUUUUCUCAUCCUGAGCUAAUCUUAUGUGCUUCUCUGUAUGAUGAUAAAGUCAUGAUUGUUUGAGCUCUAUGUAGAUCCAAGUUCUAUGAGGUAAAUAUUGUUGAAUUCUGCACAUAGAUAUCCAUUCACCUAGAGUUUCCGCAUUUUUGAUUUCCUUAUUACUAAGUUUCAAUUUGUUUUCUCUAAAACAGGAAUGGUAAAUGGAGUAUUACAUGGUAAACCAUCAGUAAUAGUCCUUAAGGAGAAUUCAUGCAUGCCAUCACAUGCCCCUUUAUGCAUCGAAGAAAUUUUAGAAAUGGCGGUACCUAAUAUCAGAAGAGUGCAGAACAAAAUUGUAUACCCAAUACCCAAUAACCCUAAUUACAAAAUUACUAGAUGGGUUUUGCAUCCUGUAGGCCAUUGGGUAAUAUCAAUUUUAAGUCAAGGGCAAGCGAUGCGAUAUUCCACAUCAAAUGGGGAACACCAAGGAUACAUGAUGCUUAUUGAAUUUGCUGUUCAACUUGUUCCACAAGGGGGAGCUGUGCGAACUUGCAUCUUAUCUAAAAAGUGGAGAUACAAAUGGGUUACUCUUCCUAUACUUGUAUUCAAAUCUUACCUCAGCUAUGAAGAGUAUUUUCUCCUGACUCACAAUAAUCUCUCUCUCUCCACUUCAAAAGCUCCAUAAGCAGGAAACCAUGCACUAGUUAGGGAGGAUUUGGGCCCUAUCUCUUUGGGAAAGUGGUGUUCUGUUCAGCAUCAACGAUCGCGUAUCUGAUGAACGGUGAGGAGGAAGAAGAAGCGUCCCAGAACCACCAACAUUAAUGACAAUAUUGAUCAAGGCCCAUGGAACUCCAAAACCAGCCAGAUUUGUGGAGAGUCUUUCCCUUGGAUAAGAAUUUUUUCCUCCCGAAGCAAGAAGAAGACAAGAAGUAUUAAUGCCUAGGAACAAGUAUCAAUACCUUAGGGCAAGUUUCUAUGUAUUGGAUUAUAAAGCUAUUUAUGUUUUUUCCUUUUAUUUUUUCUAUGUACAAUCCUUCAGGAUUAUAAGGGAUGGUUGAGAUCAUUUUGAUGCUUUCAA